Potamilus streckersoni is the source of this 72-nucleotide non-coding RNA. NCBI's taxonomy places the organism in Eukaryota, Metazoa, Mollusca, Bivalvia, Unionida, Unionidae. The record is from the annotation of a GenBank genome assembly.
UCCAAUGGCCUAGUGGUUAAAUCAUCCGCCUCAGAUGCGAGAGGUCAUGAGUUCGAUCCCCGGUCUUAAAAA